UACGUAGGGACCGAGCGUUGUCCGGAAUCAUUGGGCGUAAAGAGCUCGUAGGCGGUUCGGUAAGUCGGGUGUGAAAACUCUGGGCUCAACCCAGAGCCGCCACCCGAUACUGCUGUGACUCGAGUGCGGUAGGGGAGCGGGGAAUUCCUGGUGUAGCGGUGAAAUGCGCAGAUAUCAGGAGGAACACCAGUGGCGAAGGCGCCGCUCUGGGCCGUGACUGACGCUGAGGAGCGAAAGCGUGGGUAGCAAACAGG
RNAcentral lists this ribosomal RNA (254 nucleotides) under uncultured bacterium. RNAcentral describes it as "partial 16S ribosomal RNA". It matches the Rfam family "Bacterial small subunit ribosomal RNA", at positions 524 to 776 of the family's 1533-position model. The record is from RNAcentral.